Molecule: ribosomal RNA, 1404 nt
Filed under: uncultured bacterium
Lineage: Bacteria
Description: partial 16S ribosomal RNA
Rfam family: Bacterial small subunit ribosomal RNA
Source: RNAcentral
AGAGUUUGAUCCUGGCUCAGGAUGAACGCUAGCGGCAGGCUUAACACAUGCAAGUCGAGGGGCAGCGGGGAGGAAGCUUGCUUUCUCCGCCGGCGACCGGCGCACGGGUGAGUAACACGUAUGCAACCUGCCCCUGUCAGGGGGACAACCCGCCGAAAGGCGGGCUAAACCCGCGUACAUGCCACCGGGGCAUCCCGGAGGCAGGAAAGGCUUCGGCCGGACAGGGAUGGGCAUGCGGCGCAUUAGGCAGUAGGCGGGGUAACGGCCCACCUAACCGACGAUGCGUAGGGGUUCUGAGAGGAAGGUCCCCCACACUGGUACUGAGACACGGACCAGACUCCUACGGGAGGCAGCAGUGAGGAAUAUUGGUCAAUGGUCGGGAGACUGAACCAGCCAAGCCGCGUGAGGGAGGAAGGUACAGAGUAUCGUAAACCUCUUUUGUCAGGGAACAAAGGCGGGGACGUGUCCCCGGAUGAGUGUACCUGAAGAAAAAGCAUCGGCUAACUCCGUGCCAGCAGCCGCGGUAAUACGGAGGAUGCGAGCGUUAUCCGGAUUUAUUGGGUUUAAAGGGUGCGCAGGCGGUCUGUUAAGUCAGCGGUCAAAGCCCGGGGCUCAACCCCGGCCCGCCGUUGAAACUGGCAGUCUCGAGUUGGAGAGAAGUAUGCGGAAUGCGCGGUGUAGCGGUGAAAUGCAUAGAUAUCGCGCAGAACUCCGAUUGCGAAGGCAGCAUGCCGGCUCCACACUGACGCUGAGGCACGAAAGCGUGGGUAUCGAACAGGAUUAGAUACCCUGGUAGUCCACGCAGUAAACGAUGAAUGCUGGCUGUCCGGGGGGAUGGACCCCUGGGUGGCGAAGCGAAAGCGAUAAGCAUUCCACCUGGGGAGUACGCCGGCAACGGUGAAACUCAAAGGAAUUGACGGGGGCCCGCACAAGCGGAGGAACAUGUGGUUUAAUUCGAUGAUACGCGAGGAACCUUACCCGGGCUCAAACGGGGAGUGACUCAGGCAGAGACGCCUGUUUCCCACGGGACACUCCCCGAGGUGCUGCAUGGUUGUCGUCAGCUCGUGCCGUGAGGUGUCGGCUUAAGUGCCAUAACGAGCGCAACCCCCGCGUGCAGUUGCUAACAGAUAACGCUGAGGACUCUGCACGGACUGCCGGCGCAAGCCGCGAGGAAGGCGGGGAUGACGUCAAAUCAGCACGGCCCUUACGUCCGGGGCGAUACACGUGUUACAAUGGGUGGUACAGCGGGAAGCCAGGCGGCGACGCCGAGCGGAACCCGAAAUCCACUCUCAGUUCGGAUCGGAGUCUGCAACCCGACUCCGUGAAGCUGGAUUCGCUAGUAAUCGCGCAUCAGCCAUGGCGCGGUGAAUACGUUCCCGGGCCUUGUACUCACAGCCCGUCAAG